GAUGAACGCUGGCGGCGUGCCUAAUACAUGCAAGUCGAGCGAACAGACGAGGAGCUUGCUCCUCUGACGUUAGCGGCGGACGGGUGAGUAACACGUGGAUAACCUACCUAUAAGACUGGGAUAACUUCGGGAAACCGGAGCUAAUACCGGAUAAUAUAUUGAACCGCAUGGUUCAAUAGUGAAAGACGGUUUUGCUGUCACUUAUAGAUGGAUCCGCGCCGCAUUAGCUAGUUGGUAAGGUAACGGCUUACCAAGGCAACGAUGCGUAGCCGACCUGAGAGGGGGAGCGGCCACACGGGACCUGAGCCCCGGUCCAGACUCCUACGGGAGGCAGAAGUAGGGAAUCUUCCGAAAUGGGCGAAAGCCGGACGGAGCAACGCCGGGGGAGUGAUGAAGGUCUUCGGAUCGAAAAACUCUUUUAUUAGGAAAGAAAAAAUGUGAAAGAAACUCGGCCGGUCUGGACGGUCCCUAAUAAGAAAGCCACGGCUAACUACGGC
RNAcentral lists this ribosomal RNA (497 nucleotides) under uncultured bacterium. RNAcentral's name for it is "partial 16S ribosomal RNA". It matches the Rfam family "Bacterial small subunit ribosomal RNA", at positions 28 to 508 of the family's 1533-position model. The record is from RNAcentral.